GAUGAAGAACGUAGCGAAAUGCGAUACGUAAUGUGAAUUGCAGAAUUCAGUGAAUCAUCGAGUCUUUGAACGCACAUUGCGCCCUCUGGUAUUCCGGAGGGCAUGCCUGUCCGAGCGUCAUUGCUGCCCUCAAGCACGGCUUGUGUGUUGGGCCCCGCCCCCCGAUCCCGGGGGGCGGGCCCGAAAGGCAGCGGCGGCACCGCGUCCGGUCCUCGAGCGUAUGGGGCUUUGUCACCCGCUCUGUAGGCCCGGCCGGCGCUUGCCGAUCAACCAAACUUUUUUCCAGGUUGACCUCGGAUCAGGUAGGGAUACCCGCUGAACUUAAGCGUAUCAAUAAGCGGAGGA
RNAcentral lists this unclassified non-coding RNA (345 nucleotides) under soil metagenome. RNAcentral's name for it is "partial contains 5.8S ribosomal RNA, internal transcribed spacer 2, and large subunit ribosomal RNA". The stretch from base 1 to 120 matches the Rfam family "5.8S ribosomal RNA", at positions 35 to 154 of the family's 154-position model. The record is from RNAcentral.